UUUGGAAGGCAUACCUUCAGCAUCUUAAGGCCGCGGUCCUGCUCUCCUCUUGAUCUGACGUUGUGGUGGCUCGACGAGAGCGUGGUUCCCCUACCUGGAGCUCAGACGUUCUCCUGCUCAGCAGCUGUGGUCACGGUGGUGCUACACUCCUGGAAGCUACACUCCUUGAUGCUUCGGAGACGUCAGAGGUGUGAACCGUGUGAUGUUCAUGGCCAGCCAUGGAUGAGCGAGCCAGCCGUUGAUCCAUCCUUUGAACUUGAAUAAAGCCUGUUCAGUUUCUAG
Hyalella azteca is the source of this 282-nucleotide long non-coding RNA. RefSeq lists it as uncharacterized. The transcript is spliced from 2 exons. The record is from RefSeq and is a predicted model, not a curated record. Lineage: Eukaryota; Metazoa; Arthropoda; Malacostraca; Amphipoda; Hyalellidae.